UAUAUAUUUAUUUAUAUAUAUACGCAGAGACACGCGCGCACGCAUACACAUACACACAUACACACGUGUGAGGAGAACCACCCCCUCCCUCGCAGCACAUCAAGCAACGGACGCGUGCUGGUCAACACGGUCAUACAACAGUAAAUGCAUAUUCCAAAGGAAUCGUGUAUCACUUCGCGAGCUAUCGGACAGAAAAAUUGGCGAUAGCGAUCAACGAGGUACGAGAAGAAGAAAAUACGAAGGAAGAGGAAACGGAAAAGGAUGCAAGCUAGUAGAGGAUCUUUCGAGUUUCUCAAGUAUCAUCAUCAUCAUCAACAUCAUCAUCGUCAUCAUCAUCGUACGAUUGUUCUCCGAUCGAUCGAAUGUCGUAAUUCGCGAUGAUGGCGGAAAGAGACUCGAUGGUUUGUUUAAUUAUCAGAAAGACCAAAGAAGGACCCAAUUAUUUGGAUAACGGCUGUGGAUGUUAGACAAAUGCCAGUUUUUGUUGGGACAACGAACUCCUCGGAAAGAGAAAUUGAAA
RNAcentral lists this long non-coding RNA (520 nucleotides) under Polistes fuscatus (common paper wasp). RNAcentral's name for it is "uncharacterized LOC122525361, transcript variant X1". The record is from RNAcentral. Lineage: Eukaryota; Metazoa; Arthropoda; Insecta; Hymenoptera; Vespidae.